UCGAGAAUUUUUCACAAUGGGGGCAACCCUGACGGAGCGACGCCGCGUGGAGGAUGAAGGUCUUCGGAUUGUAAACUCCUGUCAUUGGUGAACAAAGCAUUUCCGUUAACUGCGGGGGUGCCUGCUAGUAGCCGAAGAGGAAGGGACGGCUAACUCUGUGCCAGCAGCCGCGGUAAUACAGAGGUCCCGAGCGUUGUUCGGAUUCAUUGGGCGUAAAGGGUGCGUAGGCGGUCUGCUAAGUUUGAUGUGAAAUCCCGGGGCUCAACCCUGGAAUGGCAUUGAAUACUGGUGGACUAGAGUACCGGAGAGGAAACUGGAAUUUACGGUGUAGCAGUGAAAUGCGUAGAGAUCGUAAGGAAGACCAGUGGCGAAGGCGAGUUUCUGGACGGUAACUGACGCUGAGGCACGAAGGCCAGGGGAGCAAACGG
This 428-nucleotide ribosomal RNA is filed under the name uncultured bacterium. Its description in RNAcentral is "bacterial SSU rRNA". It matches the Rfam family "Bacterial small subunit ribosomal RNA", at positions 355 to 775 of the family's 1533-position model. The record is from RNAcentral.